RNAcentral lists this ribosomal RNA (487 nucleotides) under uncultured bacterium. RNAcentral describes it as "partial 16S ribosomal RNA". It matches the Rfam family "Bacterial small subunit ribosomal RNA", at positions 27 to 507 of the family's 1533-position model. The record is from RNAcentral.
GAUUGAACGCUGGCGGCAUGCCUUACACAUGCAAGUCGAACGGCAGCACGGGUGCUUGCACCUGGUGGCGAGUGGCGAACGGGUGAGUAAUACAUCGGAACAUGUCCUGUAGUGGGGGAUAGCCCGGCGAAAGCCGGAUUAAUACCGCAUACGAUCUACGGAUGAAAGCGGGGGACCUUCGGGCCUCGCGCUAUAGGGUUGGCCGAUGGCUGAUUAGCUAGUUGGUGGGGUAAAGGCCUACCAAGGCGACGAUCAGUAGCUGGUCUGAGAGGACGACCAGCCACACUGGGACUGAGACACGGCCCAGACUCCUACGGGAGGCAGCAGUGGGGAAUAUUGGACAAUGGGCGAAAGCCUGAUCCAGCAAUGCCGCGUGUGUGAAGAAGGCCUUCGGGUUGUAAAGCACUUUUGUCCGGAAAGAAAUCCUUGGCCCUAAUACGGUCGGGGGAUGACGGUACCGGAAGAAUAAGCACCGGCUAACUACGUG